ACAUGAAGCUGGAAUCGCUAGUAAUCGUAGAUCAGCAUGCUACGGUGAAUACGUUCCCGUUUCUUUUACACACCGCCCUUCACACCACGAGAGUUUUUAACACCCGUAGCCGGUUGAUUAACCAUUUUGAGCUAGCCUUCUUUGGUUGUACAUAUUAUUUGGUUUAAGUCGUAUCAAGGUAGCCGUAUCUGUAGGUUCUGCUGUAUCACCUCCUUUCUAA
Molecule: ribosomal RNA, 220 nt
Filed under: Staphylococcus felis
Lineage: Bacteria; Bacillati; Bacillota; Bacilli; Caryophanales; Staphylococcaceae
Description: partial 16S ribosomal RNA
Rfam family: Bacterial small subunit ribosomal RNA
Source: RNAcentral